RNAcentral lists this ribosomal RNA (448 nucleotides) under uncultured bacterium. Its description in RNAcentral is "partial 16S ribosomal RNA". It matches the Rfam family "Bacterial small subunit ribosomal RNA", at positions 330 to 794 of the family's 1533-position model. The record is from RNAcentral.
CCCAGACUCCUACGGGAGGCAGCAGUGGGGGAUAUUGCACAAUGGGGGGAACCCUGAUGCAGCGACGCCGCGUGGGUGAAGGAGCGUUUCGGCGCGUAAAGCCCUCCCGGCAGGGAAGAAGGAGGACGGUACCUGACUAAGAAGCCCCGGCUAACUACGUGCCAGCAGCCGCGGUAAUACGUAGGGGGCAAGCGUUAUCCGGAUUUACUGGGUGUAAAGGGGGCGCAGACGGCAGCGCAAGCCAGGAGUGAAAGCCCGGGGCCCAACCCCGGGACUGCUCUUGGAACUGCGCGGCUGGAGUGCAGGAGGGGCAGGCGGAAUUCCUGGUGUAGCGGUGAAAUGCGUAGAUAUCAGGAGGAACACCGGUGGCGAAGGCGGCCUGCUGGACUGCGACUGACGUUGAGGCCCGAAAGCGUGGGGAGCAAACAGGAUUAGAUACCCCUGUAUC